GACGAACGCUGGCGGCGUGCUUAACACAUGCAAGUCGAACGGAAAGGCCCUGCUUUUGUGGGGUGCUCGAGUGGCGAACGGGUGAGUAACACGUGAGUAACCUGCCCUUGACUUUGGGAUAACUUCAGGAAACUGGGGCUAAUACCGGAUAGGAGCUCCUGCUGCAUGGUGGGGGUUGGAAAGUUUCGGCGGUUGGGGAUGGACUCGCGGCUUAUCAGCUUGUUGGUGGGGUAGUGGCUUACCAAGGCUUUGACGGGUAGCCGGCCUGAGAGGGUGACCGGCAACAAUGGGACUGAGAUACGGCCCAGAGUGCUACGGGAGGCAGCAGUGGGGAAUAUUGCACAAUGGGCGGAAGCCUGAUGCAGCAACGCCGCGUGCGGGAUGACGGCCUUCGGGUUGUAAACCGCUUUCGCCUGUGACGAAGCGUGAGUGACGGUAAUGGGUAAAGAAGCACCGGCUAACUACGUG
Molecule: ribosomal RNA, 468 nt
Filed under: uncultured bacterium
Lineage: Bacteria
Description: partial 16S ribosomal RNA
Rfam family: Bacterial small subunit ribosomal RNA
Source: RNAcentral